RNAcentral lists this ribosomal RNA (469 nucleotides) under uncultured bacterium. RNAcentral describes it as "bacterial SSU rRNA". It matches the Rfam family "Bacterial small subunit ribosomal RNA", at positions 28 to 507 of the family's 1533-position model. The record is from RNAcentral.
GAUAAACGCUGGCGGCGUGCAUAACACAUUCAAGUCGAACGGAUGUAAAGGGGCUUGCUCCUUUACAUUAGUGGCGGACGGGUGAGUAACGCGUGAGCAACCUGCCUUCGUGAGGGGGAUAACACAGGGAAACCUGUGCUAAUACCGCAUAACGUAUUUCUGACGCAUGUCGGGGAUACCAAAGGAGCAAUCCGCACGAAGAUGGGCUCGCGUCUGAUUAGGCAGUUGGUGAGGUAACGGCUCACCAAACCGACGAUCAGUAGCCGGACUGAGAGGUUGAACGGCCACAUUGGAACUGAGAUACGGUCCAGACUCCUACGGGAGGCAGCAGUGGGGAAUAUUGGGCAAUGGGGGAAACCCUGACCCAGCGACGCCGCGUGAGGGAAGAAGGUCUUCGGAUUGUAAACCUUUGUCAACAGGGACGAAACAAAUGACGGUACCUGAAGAGGAAGCCACGGCUAACUACGUG